UGGCUGCAACUGUUUAUUAAAAACACAGCACUGUGCAAACACGAAAGUGGACGUAUACGGUGUGACGCCUGCCCGGUGCCGGAAGGUUAAUUGAUGGGGUCAGCGCAAGCGAAGCUCCUGAUCGAAGCCCCGGUAAACGGCGGCCGUAACUAUAACGGUCCUAAGGUAGCGAAAUUCCUUGUCGGGUAAGUUCCGACCUGCACGAAUGGCGUAAUGAUGGCCAGGCUGUCUCCACCCGAGACUCAGUGAAAUUGAACUCGCUGUGAAGAUGCAGUGUACCCGCGGCAAGACGGAAAGACCCCGUGAACCUUUACUAUAGCUUGACACUGAACAUUGAGCCUUGAUGUGUAGGAUAGGUGGGAGGCUUUGAAGUGUGGACGCCAGUCUGCAUGGAGCCGGCCUUGAAAUACCACCCUUUAAUGUUUGAUGUUCUAACGUGGACCCGUGAUCCGGGUUGCGGACAGUGUCUGGUGGGUAGUUUGACUGGGGCGGUCUCCUCCUAAAGAGUAACGGAGGAGCACGAAGGUUGGCUAAUCCUGGUCGGACAUCAGGAGGUUAGUGCAAUGGCAUAAGCCAGCUUGACUGCGAGCGUGACGGCGCGAGCAGGUGCGAAAGCAGGUCAUAGUGAUCCGGUGGUUCUGAAUGGAAGGGCCAUCGCUCAACGGAUAAAAGGUACUCCGGGGAUAACAGGCUGAUACCGCCCAAGAGUUCAUAUCGACGGCGGUGUUUGGCACCUCGAUGUCGGCUCAUCACAUCCUGGGGCUGAAGUAGGUCCCAAGGGUAUGGCUGUUCGCCAUUUAAAGUGGUACGCGAGCUGGGUUUAGAACGUCGUGAGACAGUUCGGUCCCUAUCUGCCGUGGGCGCUGGAGAACUGAGGGGGGCUGCUCCUAGUACGAGAGGACCGGAGUGGACGCAUCACUGGUGUUCGGGUUGUCAUGCCAAUGGCACUGCCCGGUAGCUAAAUGCGGAAGAGAUAAGUGCUGAAAGCAUCUAAGCACGAAACUUGCCCCGAGAUGAGUUCUCCCUGAGACUUUAGGUCUCCUGAAGGAACGUUGAAGACGACGACGUUGAUAGGCCGGGUGUGUAAGCGCAGCGAUGCGUUGAGCUAACCGGUACUAAUGAACCGUGAGGCUUAACCUU
RNAcentral lists this ribosomal RNA (1140 nucleotides) under Salmonella enterica. RNAcentral's name for it is "partial 23S ribosomal RNA". It matches the Rfam family "Bacterial large subunit ribosomal RNA", at positions 1791 to 2925 of the family's 2925-position model. The record is from RNAcentral. Lineage: Bacteria; Pseudomonadati; Pseudomonadota; Gammaproteobacteria; Enterobacterales; Enterobacteriaceae.